GGGAAGCCAUGGCGGACCAUAGCAACAAAAGCUGUACAAUCCAGAGACAAUCAUGUUCAGACCUCUUUACUGCAGGAUCAACCUGAGUGUCCCAGUCCUGAAACGUUUCUUCAACCAGGAGGACACCAGGCCAGAUUUUCGGUUGAGCAGGGAGUCUUUGGCAGUGCUGCUUUAUCUUUUGCACCAGGAUAGGCAACAUGGAUGGGGUGCUACUAUUGAGACCUUGGUUUUUCUUUUCUUGGUGGCAAGUGGCACAUCCUACAGAGUGGUCUGCAGAGUGUUUGAGAUGCCUCGCUCUA
This is a long non-coding RNA of Girardinichthys multiradiatus, 299 nucleotides long. RefSeq lists it as uncharacterized. Lineage: Eukaryota; Metazoa; Chordata; Actinopteri; Cyprinodontiformes; Goodeidae. The record is from RefSeq and is a predicted model, not a curated record. The transcript is spliced from 3 exons.